GGUUUAAUUCGAUGAUACGGCGAGGAACCGUUACCUGGGCUCGAACGUAAGAUGACUGUAGGUGAAAGCUUACAUCUCUUCGGAGCAUUUUACAGGGUGCUGCAUGGUUGUCGUCAGCUCGUGCCGUGAGGUGUCGGGUUAAGUCCCAUAACGAGCGCAACCCCUACCUUAGUUGCCAUCAGGUUAAGCUGGGGACUCUAAAGGAACUGCCUACGCAAGUAGUGAGGAAGCGGGGAUGACGUCAAAUCAGCACGGCCCUUACGUCUAGGGCUACACACGUGCUACAAUGGCCGAUACAGAGGGCAGCUACCUGGUGACAGGAUGCAAAUCUCCAAAGUCGGUCUCAGUUCGGAUCGGAGUCUGCAACCCGACUCCGUGAAGUUGGAUUCGCUAGUAAUCGCGCAUCAGCCAUGGCGCGGUGAAUACGUUCCCGGGCCUU
RNAcentral lists this ribosomal RNA (439 nucleotides) under uncultured Sphingobacteriales bacterium. Its description in RNAcentral is "bacterial SSU rRNA". It matches the Rfam family "Bacterial small subunit ribosomal RNA", at positions 943 to 1382 of the family's 1533-position model. Lineage: Bacteria; Pseudomonadati; Bacteroidota; Sphingobacteriia; Sphingobacteriales. The record is from RNAcentral.